GUUGGUGAACCUGCGGAAGGAUCAUUAA
Molecule: ribosomal RNA, 28 nt
Filed under: Cookeina speciosa
Lineage: Eukaryota; Fungi; Ascomycota; Pezizomycetes; Pezizales; Sarcoscyphaceae
Description: partial 18S ribosomal RNA
Source: RNAcentral